UACAGAGGUCCCAAGCGUUGUUCGGAUUCACUGGGCGUAAAGGGUGCGCAGGCGGUCGGGUAAGUCUGAUGUGAAAUCUCACAGCUUAACUGUGAAACUGCAUUGGAUACUAUCCGGCUCGAGGAAUGGAGGGGAGACUGGAAUACUUGGUGUAGCAGUGAAAUGCGUAGAUAUCAAGUGGAACACCAGUGGCGAAGGCGAGUCUCUGGACAUUUCCUGACGCUGAGGCACGAAAGCCAGGGGAGCAAACGGG
This 253-nucleotide ribosomal RNA is filed under the name uncultured bacterium. RNAcentral describes it as "partial 16S ribosomal RNA". It matches the Rfam family "Bacterial small subunit ribosomal RNA", at positions 524 to 776 of the family's 1533-position model. The record is from RNAcentral.